AGAGUUCGAUCCUGCUCAGACGACGCUGCGGCGUGCCUAAUACAUGCAAGUCGAGCGGACUUUAAAAGACUUGCUUUUAAAGUUAGCGGCGGACGGGUGAGUAACACGUGGGCAACCUGCCUGUAAGACUGGGAUAACUUCGGGAAACCGGAGCUAAUACCGGAUAAUCCUUUUCUACACAUGUAGAAAAGCUGAAAGACGGUUUACGCUGUCACUUACAGAUGGGCCCGCGGCGCAUUAGCUAGUUGGUGAGGUAACGGCUCACCAAGGCAACGAUGCGUAGCCGACCUGAGAGGGUGAUCGGCCACACUGGGACUGAGACACGGCCCAGACUCCUACGGGAGGCAGCAGUAGGGAAUCUUCCGCAAUGGACGAAAGUCUGACGGAGCAACGCCGCGUGAGUGAUGAAGGUUUUCGGAUCGUAAAACUCUGUUGUUAGGGAAGAACAAGUACAAGAGUAACUACUUGUACCUUGACGGUACCUAACCAGAAAGCCACGGCUAACUACGUG
RNAcentral lists this ribosomal RNA (511 nucleotides) under uncultured Bacillus sp. RNAcentral describes it as "bacterial SSU rRNA". It matches the Rfam family "Bacterial small subunit ribosomal RNA", at positions 8 to 507 of the family's 1533-position model. Lineage: Bacteria; Bacillati; Bacillota; Bacilli; Caryophanales; Bacillaceae. The record is from RNAcentral.